GCUCUUGUCUAGACAUUCCAUACUGGCACUUGCCAUCCCUAUAUCUUAUACUCGCGCCCCCGCCUCUGCCCACGAGGCGACAGAUACUACCAUCUGCUAUUCUGGAAACAGCAGAGUGUUGACCUGCGGUGCAGCACACGUGCUGGAAGCCCACUUCAAACAUCCUCCAAUAACUUCCAGAGCGAUCACAGAUGGCGGAGAGUCACCCAUGGAGUGGCAGACCCUCUAGUUCCCCACGAAGGUCAUCUACAUUUGCCAACUAUGCCUGGAAGCAUACAAUCAAGCCAAACAGGAUUUUGAUACGCAAUGCCCGGCCACUGGUCAUCAAUUUUGCCACUGAUAGGCUUCCUAUCAUCAAGCCAGUGGAUCAGAUCAUACUGGAAGACGCGGGCACCGUGGGGUCCGCCCUUAAUCUACCCAGCGAGUCUAUCUGCACUAGACCAGGCCUGCUCCUGUUUGGACACUACAAUAACGAUGUGCCAGUCACCCCCCUGGUGGACUUUAAGCCCGAUGAGCCCCUCCAGGUUGUCCUCACAGCCCACAAGACCAUAGUGGUGCCACCAGGAGAAUUUGUCAUGAUCAUCGUGUGUGUAAAUUUUGAAAAAAUAAAAUCCCUGGACCUCAUCAUCCAUGAAAUGUCAACCAGCAACAUCCCCCUACCACCCACCUGUGGGCAGACCUUCAAAAACUUCAAUACAGCCACCCCCUCUCUGGAAAUCUAUGGAGAUGUCAUAGAGUGUAAUGACGACCAGAAGACCUGCGUCUUCACAGCCGUCUUUCCCGGGCUCCACAGGCGCUGCAGCCUCCACGGUCCCCUAAAUUUUAUGGGAUUUGUCAACAGUGUGAAUAUAACUGGAACUAUCCUCAGGGUGUACUAUUCUGGUGUCAGUGAAGCUGCCCCAGACAGCAUACUUGUCAAAUUCAAAACCUCCUCUGCCGUGGCCUUCAGUAAGAACCCGUGCCAAGGACAUGUUCCCAGUCAUGAUGAUACUUUGAUUCCCCUGGUGUAUACCGGACCCACCCUCCGUCUCCUCCCGCUGGAAACCAUCAGUAUUCCCUUCAAUACCUCUUUUGUGGCCCAGAACCCUGACCUGAAAGCCAUCAUCUAUGACAACAACUUAAAAGACAUCAGGAUCUCUGCAACCAUGUGGACAGGAGAACAGACACCCAUCUUGGCCCACAAUUUAACCGCCGCAGUUAAACUUAUCCACAGUGGGACCGUGUUUGCCAGGGCAGCCUUUUUCUCCACUAAAGAGAACAAGAAGGCCUGCACACUUAAACUCUGCCCCUCAACCAUCCUUCUUCCAGGUGGUGAGCUGAGUCUAGAUACCUCUACCCUCCCCAACUGUUUCAAAUGAUUCUUGUGAGUGCUGACAGGCUUAAUAAAGAAAAUGAUUAAAUGAAA
RNAcentral lists this non-coding RNA (1405 nucleotides) under synthetic construct. The record is from RNAcentral.